ACGAACGCUGGCGGCGUGCUUAACACAUGCAAGUCGAACGGAAAGGCCUGCUUUCCCUUGUGGAUUGCGGGUACUCGAGUGGCGAACGGGUGAGUAACACGUGAGUGAUCUGCCCCCAACUUGGGUAUAAGCCUGGGAAACUGGGUCUAAUUCCCGAUAGGACUGCAGGGUGGUGCCUGUGGUGGAAAACGAUUUUCUAGUGGUUGGGGAUGAGCUCGCGGCCUAUCAGCUUGUUGGUGGGGUAAUGGCCUACCAAGGCGGCGACGGGUAGCCGGCCUGGGAGGGUGGACGGCCACAUUGGGACGGAGAUACGGCCCAGACUCCUACGGGGGGCAGCAGUGGGGAAUAUUGCACAAUGGGCGGAAGCCUGAUGCAGCGACGCCGCGUGGGGGAUGACGGCCUUCGGGUUGUAAACUCCUUUCGACCGCGAGGAAGCCACCUGGUUGGAAGGGUGGUGACGGUAGUGGUAGAAGAAGCACCGGCUAACUACGUG
RNAcentral lists this ribosomal RNA (493 nucleotides) under uncultured bacterium. RNAcentral describes it as "partial 16S ribosomal RNA". It matches the Rfam family "Bacterial small subunit ribosomal RNA", at positions 29 to 507 of the family's 1533-position model. The record is from RNAcentral.